AUUGAACGCUGGCGGCAUGCUUUACACAUGCAAGUCGAACGGCAGCGCGGGCUUCGGCCUGGCUGCGAGUGGCGAACGGGUGAGUAAUGCAUCGGAACGUGCCCAGUAGUGGGGGAUAGCCCGGCGAAAGCCGGAUUAAUACCGCAUACGACCUGCGGGUGAAAGCGGGGGACCGAAAGGCCUCGCGCUAUUGGAGCGGCCGAUGGCGGACUAGCUAGUUGGUGGGGUAGAGGCUUACCAAGGCGGCGAUGGGUAGCUGGUCUGAGAGGAUGACCGGCCAGAGUGGGACUGAGAGAAGGCCCAGACUCCUACGGGAGGCAGCAGUGGGGAAUAUUGCACAAGGGGCGGAAGCCUGAUGCAGCAAAGCCGCGUGCGGGAUGAAGGCCUUCGGGUUGUAAACCGCUUUCGCCUGUGACGAAGCGGGAGUGACGGUAAUGGGUAAAGAAGCACCGGAUAACUACGUG
Molecule: ribosomal RNA, 464 nt
Filed under: uncultured bacterium
Lineage: Bacteria
Description: partial 16S ribosomal RNA
Rfam family: Bacterial small subunit ribosomal RNA
Source: RNAcentral